This 141-nucleotide ribosomal RNA is filed under the name uncultured Streptomyces sp. RNAcentral describes it as "partial 16S ribosomal RNA". It matches the Rfam family "Bacterial small subunit ribosomal RNA", at positions 340 to 497 of the family's 1533-position model. The record is from RNAcentral. Lineage: Bacteria; Bacillati; Actinomycetota; Actinomycetes; Kitasatosporales; Streptomycetaceae.
UAUGGGAGGCAGCAGUGGGGAAUAUUGCCCAAUGGGCGAAAGCCUGAUGCAGCGACGCCGCGUGAGGGAUGACGGCCUUCGGGUUGUAAACUCUUUCAGCAGGGAAGAAGCGAAAGUGACGUACUGCAGAGAGCCCGCAAC